This 669-nucleotide ribosomal RNA is filed under the name Triticum aestivum (bread wheat). RNAcentral's name for it is "partial small subunit ribosomal RNA". Lineage: Eukaryota; Viridiplantae; Streptophyta; Magnoliopsida; Poales; Poaceae. The record is from RNAcentral.
AUGGAAGGCGACGGCGGCACGGCGGCGGCCUGGAUGGCGACGCACCGCGGGAUGUACGAGCGGGCCACGCGGCACCCCUUCACCGUCUCGAUCCGCGACGGUUCCGUCGACCUGGCCGCCUUCAAACGCUGGCUCGGUCAGGACUACAUGUUCGUGCGGGAAUUUGUUGCAUUUCUAGCUAGUGUACUGCUCAAGUGUUGCAAAGAGUCAGACAGCUCGGACAUGGAAACAAUCCUAGGUGGCUUGGCUUCUCUUAGUGAUGAGCUCUCUUGGUUCAAGAAGGAAGCUGCUAAAUGGAGUGUUGAUCUGGCCGGUAUUUCUCCCCUCAGUUCUACUCCCUCCGUUCCAAAGUUUCUCCAAAGCCUUGAUGAUCCAGAGAUCAGCUACAGUGUAGCCAUAACUACAUUUUGGAUAAUCGAAACCGUGUACCAGGAUAGUUUUGCUUUCUGCAUAGAAGAAGGUAACAAGACGCCGGCGGAGCUCGGGACCUGUCAGAGAUGGGGCAGCCCUGAGUUCAAGCAGUACUGCCAGUCUCUGCAGCGGAUCGCUGAUCGCUGCUUGGCGAAUGCGCCACAUGAUGUUGUUGUUGUCAAGAGAGCUGAAGAGGCCUUUCUUGGUGUGCUCGAGCUGGAGAUUGGAUUCUGGGACAUGAGUUCUUCUCAGUCCUAA